Molecule: unclassified non-coding RNA, 274 nt
Filed under: Hevea brasiliensis (rubber tree)
Lineage: Eukaryota; Viridiplantae; Streptophyta; Magnoliopsida; Malpighiales; Euphorbiaceae
Source: RNAcentral
UCAAAGUCAACCUGGAAGGUACUUAAGCUUGUAGCUUGUUAUUGAAUGGUUUGUUGUUUUGCUAUUCCUUCUAAAAUUUUGGAGGAUUAUGCUUUUCCAAAGGAAAAAUGUUGAUGUUUAAUGUGAGGCAUGGAGCACAUAAUAUAUGGAUGAAAUUCUUUCAAAUCAAUUAAAUGGAAUAGUUUUAAUAGAGUUUUGCACAUAAUAUAUAGAUGAAAUUCUUUCAAAUCAAUUAAAUGGAAUAGUUUUAAUAGAGUUUUGCACAUAAUAUAUA